AGAAACUAAUACUGGCAGUCGACGAGAGACCUUCGGGUCUCUAGUGGCGAACGGGUGAGUAACACGUAGGGAACCCGCUCGAACACCGGGAAUACGCUCUGGAAACGGAGAACAAACCCUGAUGUACAGGAAGGAGGCAUCUUCUUUCUGUGAAACAUCCUCUAGGGGAUGGGGCGCGGAUGGACCUGCGGUGCAUUAGUUGGUUGGCGGGGUAAAGGCCCACCAAGACGAUGAUGCAUAGCCGGCCUGAGAGGGCGGACGGCCACAUUGGGACUGAGACACGGCCCAGACUCCUGCGGGAGGCAGCAGUAGGGAAUUUUCGUCAAUGGGCGCAAGCCUGAACGAGCGAUGCCGCGUGAGUGAAGAAGGCCUUCGGGUCGUAAAGCUCUGUUGCGGGGGAAAAAAGGCAGCAUCAGGAAAUGUUUGCUGACUGAUGGUGCCCCGCCAGAAAGUCACGGCUAACUACGUGCCAGCAGCCGCGGUAAUACGUAGGUGGCGAGCGUUAUCCGGAAUGAUUGGGCGUAAAGGGUGCGCAGGCGGUCCUGCCAGUCUGGAGUGAACCGCAUGAGCUCCCCUCAUGCAUGGCUUUGGAUUCUGGAGGACUGGCAAGUAUGAAAGGCCGUUGGAAAUUCCUUUGGCAUACGGCACCAUGUCUAUAUUAUAUCAUUACCACUCCCACGCCCCCCCCCUCUUUUUUUCU
This 700-nucleotide ribosomal RNA is filed under the name uncultured bacterium. Its description in RNAcentral is "bacterial SSU rRNA". It matches the Rfam family "Bacterial small subunit ribosomal RNA", at positions 45 to 739 of the family's 1533-position model. The record is from RNAcentral.